GAAGGGUCCCUACUUAUAGAAAAUAGAGAUCAUUAGAUUUGCGUCAAGUGGCGAAAUCUUAUGAGGAGAGAGGAAAAAAAGUGACUUGACGCAAUACGACGACUGACAGAUGCAACUGAUGGAUGACCAGUAUGACGAUGUCGACGUGGCAGCAGUGCAAAAACUAGAGGCACACCACCCAAACGACAGCUGCAUGCUACCCAACUGGCAGUGGCAUGACGCCUAACUAACGAUGCACACCCCCCAAGGGGCGACACACGAUGCCUAAGGGGCAGCACACAUUGCCAGAGGUAACACCCACUGUCCUAGCCUACCGCAUGUGCACAGGGCGUUUGG
This 336-nucleotide long non-coding RNA is filed under the name Carica papaya (papaya). RNAcentral's name for it is "long non-coding RNA (CPAP_LNC007205)". The record is from RNAcentral. Lineage: Eukaryota; Viridiplantae; Streptophyta; Magnoliopsida; Brassicales; Caricaceae.